Molecule: ribosomal RNA, 490 nt
Filed under: uncultured bacterium
Lineage: Bacteria
Description: partial 16S ribosomal RNA
Rfam family: Bacterial small subunit ribosomal RNA
Source: RNAcentral
AGUGAACGCUGGCGGUAGGCCUAACACAUGCAAGUCGAACGGCAGCACAGGAGAGCUUGCUCUCUGGGUGGCGAGUGGCGGACGGGUGAGGAAUACAUCGGAAUCUGCCCAGUCGUGGGGGAUAACGUAGGGAAACUUACGCUAAUACCGCAUACGACCUUCGGGUGAAAGAGGGGGAUCGCAAGACCUCUCGCGAUUGGAUGAGCCGAUGUCGGAUUAGCUAGUUGGCGGGGUAAUGGCCCACCAAGGCGACGAUCCGGAGCUGGUCUGAGAGGAUGAACCGCCACACUGGAACUGAGACGCGGUCCAGACUCCUACGGGAGGCAGCAGUGGGGAAUAUUGGACAAUGGGCGCAAGCCUGAUCCAGCCAUACCGCGUGGGUGAAGAAGGCCUUCGGGUUGUAAAGCCCUUUUGUUGGGAAAGAAAUCUUUCAGGCUAAUACCCUGGGAGGAUGACGGUACCCAAAGAAUAAGCACCGGCUAACUUCGUG